RNAcentral lists this transfer RNA (73 nucleotides) under Paramuricea clavata. RNAcentral describes it as "tRNA-Ser". It matches the Rfam family "tRNA". From Rfam's summary of the family: Transfer RNA (tRNA) molecules are approximately 80 nucleotides in length. Lineage: Eukaryota; Metazoa; Cnidaria; Anthozoa; Malacalcyonacea; Plexauridae. The record is from RNAcentral.
GACUCUGUAGCUCAGUUGGUUAGAGCGCUGCACCGGAAUGGCAGGGCAGCACGUUCAAUUCCUGCCAGAGAGC